UGCGCAGGCGGAAUGAUAAGUCAGUGGUGAAAUCCUACAGCUCAACUGUAGAACUGCCAUUGAUACUGUUGUUCUUGAGUACAGUUGUAGUGGGCGGAAUAUGUCAUGUAGCGGUGAAAUGCAUAGAUAUGACAUAGAACACCGAUCGCGAAGGCAGCUCACUAAGCUGAAACUGACGCUGAGGCACGAAAGCGUGGGGAGCAAACAGGAUUAGAUACCCUGGUAGUCC
Molecule: ribosomal RNA, 229 nt
Filed under: uncultured bacterium
Lineage: Bacteria
Description: partial 16S ribosomal RNA
Rfam family: Bacterial small subunit ribosomal RNA
Source: RNAcentral